RNAcentral lists this ribosomal RNA (468 nucleotides) under uncultured bacterium. RNAcentral's name for it is "partial 16S ribosomal RNA". It matches the Rfam family "Bacterial small subunit ribosomal RNA", at positions 28 to 507 of the family's 1533-position model. The record is from RNAcentral.
GACGAACGCUGGCGGCGUGCUUAACACAUGCAAGUCGAACGGAAAGGCCCGGCUUUUGUUGGUUGCUCGAUUGGCGAACGGGUGUGUAACACGUGAGUAACCUGCCCUUAACUGUGUGAUAACUUCAGGGGACUGGGGCUAAUACCGGGUAGGAGCUCCUGCUGCAUGUGGGUGGUUGGAAAGAUUCGGUGGUUGUGUAUGGACUCGAUGGUUAUCAGCUUGUUGGGGUAGUAGUGGCUGACGAAGGGUUUGACGGGUAGCCGGCAUGGGAGGGUGACCGGCCACAUUGGGCCUGAGAUACGGACCAGAAUCCUACGGGCGGCAGUAGUGGGGAACAUUGCACAAUGGGGCGACGCGUGAUGCAGAAACGCCGGGUGCGGGAUGCCGGGCUUCGGGUUGUAAACAAAUUUCGAAUGUGAUGAAGAGGGCGUGACGGUAAUGGGUAAAGAAGCCCCGGCUAACUACGUG